UUGAUAAGUGACCCACCUGGGGAGUACGAUCGCAAGAUUGAAACUCAAAGGAAUUGACGGGGGCCCGCACAAGCGGUGGAGCAUGUGGUUUAAUUCGAUGAUACGCGAGGAACCUUACCAGGGCUUAAAUGUAAGUUGCAUAGAGUAGAGAUAUUCUUUUCUUCGGACUACUUACAAGGUGCUGCAUGGUUGUCGUCAGCUCGUGCCGUGAGGUGUCAGGUUAAGUCCUAUAACGAGCGCAACCCCUACCGUUAGUUGCCAGCAUGUAAAGAUGGGGACUCUAGCGGGACUGCCGGUGCAAACCGAGAGGAAGGUGGGGAUGACGUCAAAUCAUCACGGCCCUUACGUCCUGGGCUACACACGUGCUACAAUGGUCGGUACAGAGGGCAGGCCCUGCGUGAGCAGGAGCGAAUCCUUAAAACCGAUCUCAGUUCGGAUCGGAGUCUGCAACUCGAUCCGUGAAGCUGGAAUCGCUAGUAAUCGGAUAUCAGCCAUGAUCCGGUGAAUACGUUCCCGGGCCUUGUACCACCGCCCGUCAAGCCAUGGAAGCUGGGGGUGCCUGAAGUCGGUG
Molecule: ribosomal RNA, 571 nt
Filed under: uncultured bacterium
Lineage: Bacteria
Description: bacterial SSU rRNA
Rfam family: Bacterial small subunit ribosomal RNA
Source: RNAcentral